Long non-coding RNA from Rhododendron vialii, 1192 nucleotides. RefSeq lists it as uncharacterized. The record is from RefSeq and is a predicted model, not a curated record. Lineage: Eukaryota; Viridiplantae; Streptophyta; Magnoliopsida; Ericales; Ericaceae. The transcript is spliced from 2 exons.
AGAAACCAACAAAGAUUACCAACCAGAUCCAACAAUGUUAGCACGUGGUAUCCUAUUUUCUAGAUAAAUAUCUCUGGAAGUAGAAGCUGACAACCUUUCUUGGUUUCUCAUGAUCUAUGACAAACAUUCAUGCUUGUGAAGAAACACUUCAAAAUUUAUCCUCAAACCUUUUUCCCUGAACAUGCAAAUUCCCAUAGUUCUAGAUGGGCCAUUUAUUAGAGCUAGCGUCAGAGCAGAGUUGACGAGCCCUAAAUAACUAUACCUCAGUGUCAAGUGUACUGAGCGCGAGGGCCACAAUUUCCGAAAUAUUGUGAAUCAAAGUGUGAAUGCCCCUUCGAAAUCCUAUAUAUCCCACCCCCGUGUUCUAGCCAUUUACUAGAGGAGGCAUAAGUGAAGUACAAUUUAACCAUGUCGGCAUGAGCAAAUCAUAUUAGUGAUAAGUGAUAAGUGAUAAGUUUGAGUCAUAGUAUGAAUUUGCAUGUGGAGAUGCAAAUUUUCAUAGAUAGAGAGAAACAAAAUACGAAAGGGAGAAGCCGAAUGCAAACGGGGAACAAAUGCAAACAGCAAAACUUGAACCCAAGAACUCUUGCAACCUAAGCUCUGAUACCAUGUUAAGUUACACAUAGUCCCAAAAGCUUAAGUUAGAAAAUGGACUCAACAAUGUAUAUCAAGCUACCUAACAGGCACACUCGUAUAGGCACAUGUCUGAAGCGAAGUCCCACAUCACUUGUGUACCAAAGUAAUACAAAGUAGAGGUGGCAAUUUGGACCCAACUUCAUGGACCCGCCCAAAUCCAUCCAUUUAUAAUUAGCCCAAACCCACCCAUAUCCAAAUCUGGUUUCUAAUUGGGCCAACUUAAUAAACCCAUUGAUUUUAUGGGUUUAGAUGGGUAGGAAAUGGGUCUCUCACUCUCUCAUUGGAGUUUCUUUACCUCGGUAACCUCACUGGAAUAAACAAAGAUAACACCCGUAAAAAAUACCCUUCAGAUUCAAGCAAUGCAGUCUCAAAUUCGUCAAUGAAGAUGUUGACAUACCACAAAUGGAGCCUGCUAACGGAACCAGCUUCGAUUUUGGGAUCAAUCGUCCUCAUGGAGUCACGGUCGUCGUCGCCAACUACCUCUUCAUCCAAAACGUCUCUCUCUCUCUCUCUCUCUCUCUCUCUCUCUCUCUCUCUCUCUCUCUCUCUCUCUCUC